ACACGGAGGGUGCAAGCGUUGUUCGGAAUCACUGGGCGUAAAGGGCGCGCAGGCGGUUUGGUAAGUCAGAUGUGAAAGCCCACGGCUCAACCGUGGAAGUGCAUUUGAAACUGUCAGACUUGAGUACCAGAGGGGAAAGUGGAAUUCCCGGUGUAGAGGUGAAAUUCGUAGAUAUCGGGAGGAAUACCGGUGGCGAAGGCGACUUUCUGGCUGGAUACUGACGCUGAGGCGCGAAAGCGUGGGGAGCAAACAGGAUUAGAAACCCCAGUAGUCC
RNAcentral lists this ribosomal RNA (274 nucleotides) under uncultured bacterium. Its description in RNAcentral is "partial 16S ribosomal RNA". It matches the Rfam family "Bacterial small subunit ribosomal RNA", at positions 523 to 796 of the family's 1533-position model. The record is from RNAcentral.